AGCCCCUACGGGGGGCAGCAGUGAGGAAUAUUGGUCAAUGGGAGAGAUCCUGAACCAGCCAAGCCGCGUGAAGGAUGACUGCCCUAUGGGUUGUAAACUUCUUUUAUAUGGGAAUAAAAUGUUCCACGUGUGGGAUUUUGUAUGUACCAUAUGAAUAAGGAUCGGCUAACUCCGUGCCAGCAGCCGCGGUAAUACGGAGGAUCCGAGCGUUAUCCGGAUUUAUUGGGUUUAAAGGGAGCGUAGGUGGAUUGUUAAGUCAGUUGUGAAAGUUUGCGGCUCAACCGUAAAAUUGCAGUUGAAACUGG
This 305-nucleotide ribosomal RNA is filed under the name uncultured bacterium. Its description in RNAcentral is "bacterial SSU rRNA". It matches the Rfam family "Bacterial small subunit ribosomal RNA", at positions 334 to 636 of the family's 1533-position model. The record is from RNAcentral.